This is a long non-coding RNA of Oreochromis aureus, 208 nucleotides long. RefSeq lists it as uncharacterized. Lineage: Eukaryota; Metazoa; Chordata; Actinopteri; Cichliformes; Cichlidae. The record is from RefSeq and is a predicted model, not a curated record. The transcript has 3 exons.
AACAAACACUGUUGCCAUGAACUAAGACAUAUGAACUUGGCAGAACUAAGCAGGGACACAAGACAGAAAGCUGCAUUCACAUUGGAAACAAUUUGCAGCAGUGUGGCGGCUCGAGAGUGAAUGACAGUCUGUGGCUUCAAGAAACUACAGCUGGAGCGUGAAAUGACUGCAAGCAGCCUUCCUUCAGCUUCGAAGCCAUGCACACGGG